UUGUUUGAAUUUAAAAAUAAUUAAAUAUCUAUUUUUUUAAAGUAGUGGUUGUAGUGUUACCCAUUUCUUUACAAUGAGGAAAAAAACUGAAGACCAUGUUUCUGCCAAAUCAAGUUUAAGUUUUAAAUAUUUGUAAUUCAUUUUCUUUUAAAUUCUACUUAGAAAAAUGAAAAAUGAAGGUGGAAAUUGCUAAAAAUGCUAUCCAUGUUAUACUAUUCCUAAAAAAUUGCUGCUAAAUUACACGUCUGGAGCAGCAGUUGUGGUUGCAUUAUUGCAACAAAAGCAGAGACUUAGAAACCAACUAGACUCCUCCUUACCCAAUUCUCUCAAUUGCACUUGACACCACAUUUAAAAGACCCAAAAAAAAAAAAAAAAAAAAACAACCAAAACCAACCCCAAAGCCCACGUUUGUAACUUCUCCAUUUUCCUCAUUUUACUCUUUCAUGAUCACACACAACCUUCAACUCACAAAUAUACACCAUUAGAGUCUUUCAAGUUUCACGUGGCAACUACAAUGGAAUUGAAUUAAUUUUCAAAAGUUUGAAUUUUAAAUUUUUGAUUGAGAGUGGUUAUUUUUUUUAAAAAUUCAAAUUCACUAUAAAGAAGGGUUGCAAAGUGUCCACUUCCACGAUCAACUACUAAUUAACUGCUACAUUUAAAACAAAUUUAAUUUAUAAGAGGGCAACUUCUCUAUUCAGAUGGAGAAGUGCUUUCAUAAAAAAACAUUUUUCUUUAAAAGUUAUCGAAUAGAAUGGCUGGCUCUUCAUGAGAGCCUUUCUAAGGAAAAAGUGAGAAACUUCUCUCCCAUGGUAAAAGAAGUAGGUAGUUAUGGCAGUACUCCUCAUGUCACCAUUGAAGAAUUCCAAGAACUUUUUGGAAGCAUCGGACAAGUAAUAUGUGGCGAUGAUAUAAGACCCGUGGCCAUGGAGCAUAAAGCUAUACAGAUGAAAAAGGAUAUAACAUAGGAAAUGUUGUUUUGUCAUAUGAAGAUGCUUCUGCAGCACUCUGCUAUGGGCUUUUAAAAUAGUAAGAACCUGUAGUAGAAUGAUUUCUUUUAUGCACUAUAUGUCUUAACUGCUAACCAUGAAUUUGUUCACCAGAUUAUGACUUCAGAGGUUAAUUAUAAUAUCAGUGUUGCAAUGGCUGAGAAGUCUUCACUAAAGGCUCCUCCAGCAUAUGGUUUCUGGAACAACAACAGAAAAGGAAUAUUCAUCCUUUUCAACUUACUGUAACUCUGAAUAUAUCAUGUUCACAUGUUAUGCCUUAUCAUCAUAUGUGGAGCAAAGUUAAAAGUAGAUAAUUCUAUGCUCGACAAAUAUACAUCAUGUGGUUGGGUGCCCAAUUGAAGUAGCAAUUUCACCUUCCAAAGUUUCAUAUACUGUAAAGGAUACAUGUAUAAUGAUUUGAAUUGUGUAUUGCCUUCCCAUGAAUGGGAGCUUUUGUCACUCAAAGAUUUAUUUCUUUAACGGGGUAAUUUAAACCAAUAUGUAAUGGAAUGUAAUAGGGUUUGUGGUGCGAUUAUCACAUGUUCCAUAACAUGAUAACCCAAACAUGUGUUUCCCUCUCUAAUUAGGUAAAGAGAAAUAUUCAUCCUUUUCAAUUUACUGCAGCUCUGAAUAUAUCAUGUUCACAUGUUUAAUU
Lycium barbarum (goji berry) is the source of this 1641-nucleotide long non-coding RNA. RefSeq lists it as uncharacterized. The transcript is spliced from 3 exons. Lineage: Eukaryota; Viridiplantae; Streptophyta; Magnoliopsida; Solanales; Solanaceae. The record is from RefSeq and is a predicted model, not a curated record.